GAUGAACGCUGGCGGCGUGCUUAACACAUGCAAGUCGAACGAUGAAGCUCAGCUUGCUGGGUGGAUUAGUGGCGAACGGGUGAGUAACACGUGAGUAACCUGCCCUUAACUCUGGGAUAAGCCUGGGAAACUAGGUCUAAUACCGGAUAGGAGCGCCUACCGCAUGGUGGGUGUUGGAAAGAUUUAUCGGUUUUGGAUGGACUCGCGGCCUAUCAGCUUGUUGGUGAGGUAAUGGCUCACCAAGGCGACGACGGGUAGCCGGCCUGAGAGGGUGACCGGCCACACGGGGACUGAGACACGGCCCAGACUCCUACGGGAGGCAGCAGUGGGGAAUAUUGCACAAUGGGCGAAAGCCUGAGGCAGCGACGCCGCGUGAGGGAUGACGGCCUUCGGGUUGUAAACCUCUUUCAGUAGGGAAGAAGCGAAAGUGACGGUACCUGCAGAAGAAGCACCGGCUAACUACGU
Molecule: ribosomal RNA, 465 nt
Filed under: uncultured bacterium
Lineage: Bacteria
Description: partial 16S ribosomal RNA
Rfam family: Bacterial small subunit ribosomal RNA
Source: RNAcentral